This is a transfer RNA of Pyrenochaeta sp. DS3sAY3a, 91 nucleotides long. It matches the Rfam family "tRNA". Rfam says of the family: Transfer RNA (tRNA) molecules are approximately 80 nucleotides in length. The record is from Rfam. NCBI's taxonomy places the organism in Eukaryota, Fungi, Ascomycota, Dothideomycetes, Pleosporales, Cucurbitariaceae.
UCUUCGAUGGUCUAGUGGUCAUGAUUUCCGCUUGUCAGAGCUGUACAGCUUACAAGCGCGGGAGACCGGGGUUCGAUUCCCCGUCGGAGAG